Molecule: ribosomal RNA, 251 nt
Filed under: uncultured prokaryote
Description: partial 16S ribosomal RNA
Rfam family: Bacterial small subunit ribosomal RNA
Source: RNAcentral
UACGUAGGGACCGAGCGUUGUCCGGGAUUAUUGGGCGUAAAGGGCUCGUAGGCGGUUUGUCGCGUCGGGAGUGAAAACACACAGCUUAACUGUGUGCUUGCUUCCGAUACGGGCAGACUAGAGGUAUGCAGGGGAGAACGGAAUUCCUGGUGUAGCGGUGAAAUGCGCAGAUAUCAGGAGGAACACCGGUGGCGAAGGCGGUUCUCUGGGCAUCACCUGACGCUGAGGAGCGAAAGUGUGGGGAGCGAACA